CAGUCGCCACGGUAAAACAGAGGAUGCAAGCGUUAUCCGGAAUGAUUGGGCGUAAAGCGUCUGUAGGUGGCUUUUCAAGUCCGCCGUCAAAUCCCAGGGCUCAACCCUGGACAGGCGGUGGAAACUACCAAGCUAGAGUACGGUAGGGGCAGAGGGAAUUUCCGGUGGAGCGGUGAAAUGCGUUGAGAUCGAAAAGAACACCAACGACGAAAGCACUCUGCUGGGUCGACACUGACACUGAGAGACGAAAGCUAGGGGAGCAAAUGGGAUUAGAUACCCCAGUAGUCCCUGUCUCUUAUAC
Molecule: ribosomal RNA, 301 nt
Filed under: uncultured bacterium
Lineage: Bacteria
Description: partial 16S ribosomal RNA
Rfam family: Bacterial small subunit ribosomal RNA
Source: RNAcentral